RNAcentral lists this ribosomal RNA (762 nucleotides) under bacterium 4873K2-B32. RNAcentral's name for it is "bacterial SSU rRNA". It matches the Rfam family "Bacterial small subunit ribosomal RNA", at positions 123 to 880 of the family's 1533-position model. The record is from RNAcentral.
AAAUUGCCUUGAUGUGGGGGAUAACCAUUGGAAACGAUGGCUAAUACCGCAUAAUGCCUACGGGCCAAAGAGGGGGAUCUUCGGACCUCUCGCGUCAAGAUAUGCCUAGGUGGGAUUAGCUAGUUGGUGAGGUAAUGGCUCACCAAGGCGACGAUCCCUAGCUGGUCUGAGAGGAUGAUCAGCCACACUGGAACUGAGACACGGUCCAGACUCAUACGGGAGGCAGCAGUGGGGAAUAUUGCACAAUGGGCGAAAGCCUGAUGCAGCCAUGCCGCGUGUAUGAAGAAGGCCUUCGGGUUGUAAAGUACUUUCAGUUGUGAGGAAGGGGGUAACGUUAAUAGCGUUAUCUCUUGACGUUAGCAACAGAAGAAGCACCGGCUAACUCCGUGCCAGCAGCCGCGGUAAUACGGAGGGUGCGAGCGUUAAUCGGAAUUACUGGGCGUAAAGCGCAUGCAGGUGGUUCAUUAAGUCAGAUGUGAAAGCCCGGGGCUUAACCUCGGAACUGCAUUUGAAACUGGUGAACUAGAGUGCUGUAGAGGGGGGUAGAAUUUCAGGUGUAGCGGUGAAAUGCGUAGAGAUCUGAAGGAAUACCAGUGGCGAAGGCGGCCCCCUGGACAGACACUGACACUCAGAUGCGAAAGCGUGNGGGGCAAACAGGAUUAGAUACCCUGGUAGUCCACGCCGUAAACGAUGUCUACUUGGAGGUUGUGGCCUUGAGCCGUGGCUUUCGGAGCUAACGCGUUAAGUAGACCGCCUGGGGAG